This 244-nucleotide ribosomal RNA is filed under the name uncultured bacterium. RNAcentral's name for it is "partial small subunit ribosomal RNA". It matches the Rfam family "Bacterial small subunit ribosomal RNA", at positions 26 to 285 of the family's 1533-position model. The record is from RNAcentral.
AGAAUCAACGCUGGCGGCGUGCCUAACACAUGCAAGUCGCACGAGAAAGUGGAGCAAUCCACGAGUAAAGUGGCGCACGGGUGAGUAACACGUGAAUGAUCUACCUCCGAGUGGGGAAUAACUGAGAGAAAUCUUAGCUAAUACCGCAUAACACUUACGAGUCAAAGCAGCAAUGCGCUUGGAGAGGAGUUCGCGGCCGAUUAGCUAGUUGGCGGGUAAUGGCCCACCAAGGCGAUGAUCGGUA